RNAcentral lists this long non-coding RNA (760 nucleotides) under Zonotrichia albicollis (white-throated sparrow). RNAcentral's name for it is "lncRNA (ENSZALG00000000809.1)". The record is from RNAcentral. Lineage: Eukaryota; Metazoa; Chordata; Aves; Passeriformes; Passerellidae.
GUUUCUUUGUGGUUUGUUGCUAGUGAGGCUCUAUCUUUUGAGAAACUAUCUAGAUGGCAGAGUCUCUGCCUGGUGGGAAAAGGUUUUCAGUGCUUGUCUAUUGAUCUCAUGGUUUUGUUGCACUGGGAGAAGGAAACAGUGUGCAUGUUUAUAUGCUUAGAAGCAAAGAGAGGUUUCCUUUUCCCUGCUUUCUUAAAGUGGAAAACAAAGGAUAAUUUUCAAGGCAGUGGAGGGAAGCUGAGACAUGCAUCUGCUGGAUGUAACACAUGGAUAUGGACACUGCUCCAUCUGGCAGUAUUGCACUCUCCUCUCCUUGUAAAAUCUGGUCAAUGGAGAGUUUCUAAAGAGGUGAGAUGUAAAGGAAAAAUUGUUGCCACAAAGUCAUUUUCCAGCCUGUUCAGAAAAUAUAAAGCAAAACAUAGUGAUUCGUUGCAAGACAAGGAGAGAUGGGUCCAAAUCUGUUUUUCAUAUACAAAUCUCAGAAUUCCUCUCUUAGGUCUACAAAGAAAUCUUAAAGGUUUAUGAAUAUUUAUUAAAAAAAACAAAACAAGAAACUGUCAGCAGGCAUCUACCUUUCAUCAUCACCUACAGCAAAUCUAAUUCAGUCCAUGAUAUUUCAAAAGAAUUUCUCACUGAAGUAUUUGAAAUACAUUACAUAACUAGGAGUGAGGAAGGGCCAUGAGUACUAACAGUACAAUGAGGUCAACAUCUUUCACUUCCUUUUAAUAAAAUACUAUAUUUUGCUUGUUAUGUGGAGUUU